This 253-nucleotide ribosomal RNA is filed under the name uncultured bacterium. Its description in RNAcentral is "partial 16S ribosomal RNA". It matches the Rfam family "Bacterial small subunit ribosomal RNA", at positions 524 to 776 of the family's 1533-position model. The record is from RNAcentral.
UACGGAGGGUGCGAGCGUUGUUCGGAAUCACUGGGCGUAAAGCGCGUGUAGGCGGCUUUGUAAGUUUGGUGUGAAAGCCCGGGGCUUACCCCCGGCAGUGCACUGGAUACUGCAAGGCUCGAGUACGGGAGAGGAAAGUGGAAGUCCUGGUGUAGCGGUGAAAUGCGUAGAUAUAAGGAGGAACACCAGUGGCGAAGGCGGCUUUCUGGACGGAUACUGACGCUGAGACGCGAAAGCGUGGGGAGCAAACAGG